RNAcentral lists this ribosomal RNA (492 nucleotides) under uncultured bacterium. RNAcentral's name for it is "partial 16S ribosomal RNA". It matches the Rfam family "Bacterial small subunit ribosomal RNA", at positions 29 to 507 of the family's 1533-position model. The record is from RNAcentral.
AGUGAACGCUGGCGGUAGGCCUAACACAUGCAAGUCGAACGGCAGCACAGUAAGAGCUUGCUCUUACGGGUGGCGAGUGGCGGACGGGUGAGGAAUACAUCGGAAUCUACUUUUUCGUGGGGGAUAACGUAGGGAAACUUACGCUAAUACCGCAUACGACCUACGGGUGAAAGCAGGGGAUCUUCGGACCUUGCGCGAUUGAAUGAGCCGAUGUCGGAUUAGUUAGUUGGCGGGGUAAAGGCGCACCAAGGCGACGAUCCGUAGCUGGUCUGAGAGGAUGAUCCGGUAGAUGGGAAGUGAGACAGGGUCGAGACUCUUACGGGAGGAAGCAGUGGGGAAUAUUGGACAAGGGGCGCAAGGCUGAUCCAGCCAUACCGCGUGGGUGAAGAAGGCCUUCGGGUUGGAAAGCCCUUUUGUUGGGAAAGAAAAGCAGCAGGUUAAUACCCCGCUGUUCUGACGGUACCCAAAGAAUAAGCACCGGCUAACUUCGUG